RNAcentral lists this ribosomal RNA (404 nucleotides) under uncultured bacterium. Its description in RNAcentral is "bacterial SSU rRNA". It matches the Rfam family "Bacterial small subunit ribosomal RNA", at positions 358 to 774 of the family's 1533-position model. The record is from RNAcentral.
GGAAUAUUGCACAAUGGGCGAAAGCCUGAUGCAGCAACGCCGCGUGAGGGAUGACGGCCUUCGGGUUGUAAACCUCUUUUAGUAGGGAAGAAGCGAAAGUGACGGUACCUGCAGAAAAAGCACCGGCUAACUACGUGCCAGCAGCCGCGGUAAUACGUAGGGUGCAAGCGUUGUCCGGAAUUAUUGGGCGUAAAGAGCUCGUAGGCGGUUUGUCGCGUCUGCUGUGAAAUCCCGAGGCUCAACCUCGGGCUUGCAGUGGGUACGGGCAGACUAGAGUGCGGUAGGGGAGAUUGGAAUUCCUGGUGUAGCGGUGGAAUGCGCAGAUAUCAGGAGGAACACCGAUGGCGAAGGCAGAUCUCUGGGCCGUAACUGACGCUGAGGAGCGAAAGCAUGGGGAGCGAACA